AAGCCUAAAAUCAGUAACCUGACUGACAAACACCAAAAGCUCCUUGAUGAGCAAAACCUAGAGUUUCACGAGGGGGAACAGAACAACACUGACAACGACAAUGGACCGACAAACACUGAGAGACAAGACAGGGUUUUACACACAGGGCUGGGUGAUUAAGGGAAUUGGGCACAGGUGAGAUUGAUAACUGAGAGGAGGAGCAGAACAGGGCAGGUGAGGAAACAAAACCUAAAAUCUGUAAGACAAAUCUACUGAAUGUAAACACCGUAGAAAUAAGACUAAAGAUUAAUAAACUAAUGACCUCAGAGUGACAGAACUAAUUAUACUGGAAGGCAGGAGAGGAUCAUGGGGAAGGAACACAAUACACUAAAGUGAGAUAUGAACUAGAUAAUCUAAUAUAACAGAAAACUAAUGAUAAGUGAAGUGACUACAGGGAAACCUGGAGAAGCUGGGGACCAAAAGGGGCACAGAAGAUUAGGGGACACAUGAGGGAACCUGGAGGGGCUGGGGACCACAGGGACCAGAACAUAAUAACUUCGUUGUUUGCGUCAGGUUUGCUUUUGAGCUCUGAGCUCCUCCCUUUUAUCCUUUCACAUUUUUUUCUGUCUGAUGGAUGAAACCAAACUAACGGCUUCGAUAGCAAGAAAUGCGCACUCAACAGGAUCACAUAGCAAUCUUCUGCAACACAUUGCUUGUGUUGGGACUUCUCUGCUUUGAUGGCACAUCAUAGGAGGACAGAGACGACUUAACGAGCCCGUCAAAGGAGAUUUGAUGUCAUCUGGGGAACUCAGCUAGCGAGACAAACUCCAGAAACUUUGACAUCUGCAUCUGACUCUGGUGAUUAAGCUGAUCUUUGUGAGAUUGUAACAAAUAAAAACCCAGACAGGCGUGGUCAGGAGAAAUUCCCAUCUUCCUAAUUUUCUACAGUUUCUGUUAAAAGCAGACUUUCCAUGAACCCUGCCUGCCGCGUCUCCUUUUUUCCCCCCUAGUCUUCUAAAGCAAAAUGUCCUGGCUGCUGAAGGGAUCAAACCCCCAACCUGCCUGACCUCAAAGACGUCCUGAACAGGAGGAACUCUGAACAACUUGACAAGAUGGAAAAACACAACAAAGAGAAUGAUGCUGAAUAUCCAUCUGCAGGUUCUUUAAUCACAUAGACAAUAUUUGUCAUGUUGCAUUUAUAAUUUUAUUAGAAGGUUGAACAUGUUGCUUAUGUGUCUUCAAUGUAAACUUUAAAAAUAAAUGAAUUUUAUAGAA
Molecule: long non-coding RNA, 1254 nt
Organism: Nothobranchius furzeri (turquoise killifish)
Lineage: Eukaryota; Metazoa; Chordata; Actinopteri; Cyprinodontiformes; Nothobranchiidae
Source: RefSeq, a predicted model, not a curated record